Molecule: small nuclear RNA, 109 nt
Organism: Balaenoptera musculus (blue whale)
Lineage: Eukaryota; Metazoa; Chordata; Mammalia; Artiodactyla; Balaenopteridae
Source: Ensembl
AUGCUCGCUUCAGCAGCACACAUAUACUAAAAUUGGAACAAUACAGAAAAGAUUAGCAUGGCCCCUGUGCAAGGAUGACAUGCAAAUUCAUGAAGCAUUCCAUAUUUGG